GCUUUUCAUCUAAAUUAUUCAUAGCAUACAACUCCAGUAAAACCAACACAUUCACAAGCAUAUAUGUAUGUACAUUAUAUAUAUAUACAUCAGAGCAUGAUUAUUUUUUUUAAAUAAGAGAAGAAAGAAGAGUAGAAAUAUUUUGAAACAUGUCGAUAAUUGAAGUUUUGAACUUUGUUCUUGUCUGUCGGAUCUGAGUGUUUGGAGCGUUUGAGUCGGGAAAACUGAGGGUGUGUAGUCGACGGUGGCAGCCAAGGCUGCUGUAGCCGGAAGUUUCAGAGAGGGAGGGGUGUGCUGACGGUGGUGGCGUGGAGCCAUUGACCGCGGCUGCCGGACCUAGAACAGGGGGAGUUAAGAGAGCAGAGGGAGUUCAGGGAGGCGGCAGCCUUGCUGUUGCUGUCGCCAAGGAGGAGAGAGAGAGGGGUGAUGGCCGGCGGCCUUGGUGCCGUCGACUUGAGGAGGGAGAGCCGAGCGUCGUCAGCGGCUGUCGCUGUUGCUCUGGCAAGCUUCGGCGGCGGCGGCAGCGGAAUUCCGAGGGAGAGGGAGGAACGGGCAAUUGAGAGAGAGCCGAGGAUGGCGCGGCUCGUCGCCGCUGCUCCUCCGGCGAGCUUACUUCUGGAAGAGUGAGAGGGAGACUUGAGGUGAGGAAAGGAGAGAGGUCGAAGGGAAGGAGAGAGGAGGCGGAGCCGCCGGCCUCCGGGGACGGCGCUGCCGUCCGGUAGCGGCGGCAGGAGAGCGCAGAGGGCGAGAGAGAGUGAGCGGCUGAGAGGGAGAGAGAGAUAUGUUGUGUGCGUGAGAGUGAAGGGAGGAAGAGAAGGGGAAAUAGGGUUGAGGGACUUGGGCCGAAUAUUGGGCCGAUUUUUAUGAGUGAUGGGCCGAUUUUUAAAUAGAUUUGGGCUGCGAUUUUUUUUAAAAGCUUGGGCCGAUUUUUAAUUUUAUUUAGCUGGGCCCGAUUUAUUUUAUUCAGUCUAGGCCAUUCCUAUUUUAUUGAGUUGGGCCUCAUCUUUUAAAUUUAUAUGAGCUAUUAUUUAUUUAAGCAUG
RNAcentral lists this long non-coding RNA (1041 nucleotides) under Salvia miltiorrhiza (redroot sage). RNAcentral's name for it is "long non-coding RNA (SMIL_LNC003088)". Lineage: Eukaryota; Viridiplantae; Streptophyta; Magnoliopsida; Lamiales; Lamiaceae. The record is from RNAcentral.